RNAcentral lists this ribosomal RNA (465 nucleotides) under Contradusta walkeri. Its description in RNAcentral is "partial 16S large subunit ribosomal RNA". It matches the Rfam family "Bacterial large subunit ribosomal RNA", at positions 1850 to 2577 of the family's 2925-position model. Lineage: Eukaryota; Metazoa; Mollusca; Gastropoda; Littorinimorpha; Cypraeidae. The record is from RNAcentral.
GAGUCGGACCUGCCCGGUGAAUAUAUUUUAACGGCCGCGGUACUCUGACCGUGCAAAGGUAGCAUAAUCAUUUGCCCUAUAAUUGAGGGCUAGUAUGAAUGGUUUGACGUGAACAAAGCUGUCUCUAUAUAAUUUUUUAGAACUUGAUUUCUAGGUGAAGAAACCUAGAUAUUAUUGAAAGACAAGAAGACCCUAUUGAGCUUUAAAAGAGUAAAUUGAAAAAUAAUAUAUAGAUUUAGAUAUUAAUCUAUUUUAGAUUUUGGUUGGGGCGACUAUGGAACAAGUAAAGCUUCUUUAUAAUUAAUAAAACUUACAGGUAUUGAUCCAGAAUUUUUGAUUAAUGGAAUUAGUUACCAUAGGGAUAACAGCAUAAUUCUCUUUGAGAGUUCUUAUCGAAAAGAGAGUUUGUGACCUCGAUGUUGGACUAGAAUGUCCUAAAGAUGCAGCAGUCUUUAAGGGUUNGUC